AAAAGCGGAGGAAAAGAAACUAACAAGGAUUCCCCUAGUAACGGCGAGUGAAGCGGGAAGAGCUCAACAUUGUAAUCUGGCUGCUUCGCAGUCCGAGUUGUAGUCUAUAGAAGCAUGAUCCGCGCCGGCCCUUGGGCAUGUCUGUUGGAACGCAGUGUCAAAGAGGGUGAAAAUCCCGUACAUACCAAGGACGACCGUGUGCAUUGUGGUCUGCUCUCUAAGAGUCGAGUUGUUUGGGAAUGCAGCUCUAAUUGGGUGGUAAAUUCCAUCUAAAGCUAAAUAUCGACGAGAGACCGAUAGCGAACAAGUACAGUAAUGGAAAGAUGAAAAGUAGCCUGCAGAGGCAAUGAAACAAUACGUGAAACCGUUUGUAGGGAAGCGAUGGAACCUUUUCACGCUGCGAGGGUUCAGCUUGGCUUCGGCUUAGUGUAUUCCCUCGUUUUGCGGACCAGCAUCAGUUUGCUUCGCAGUAUAAGGGUGAUUGGAACGUGGCUUCUCCGGAAGUGUUAUAGCCUUUCACUGGAUGCUGUGUCGCAGACUGAGGACUGCAGUGCGCCGUAAGGCAUGGUCUUCGGGCCACGAGCACUUAGGAUGCUGCGAAUGCGAAGA
This 609-nucleotide ribosomal RNA is filed under the name Sterigmatomyces halophilus. RNAcentral's name for it is "eukaryotic LSU rRNA". It matches the Rfam family "Eukaryotic large subunit ribosomal RNA", at positions 46 to 638 of the family's 3401-position model. The record is from RNAcentral. Lineage: Eukaryota; Fungi; Basidiomycota; Agaricostilbomycetes; Agaricostilbales; Agaricostilbaceae.